AUUGAACGCUGGCGGCAUGCCUUACACAUGCAAGUCGAACGGUAGAGGGGCAACCCUCGAGAGUGGCGAACGGGUGAGUAAUGCAUCGGAACGUGCCCGGUCGUGGGGGAUAACGUAGCGAAAGCUACGCUAAUACCGCAUACGACCCGAGGGUGAAAGCGGGGGACUCGCAAGGGCCGCGCGCGAUUGGAGCGGCCGAUGUCAGAUUAGGUAGUUGGUGGGGUAAAGGCCAACCAAGCCGACGAUCUGUAGCUGGUCUGAGAGGACGACCAGCCACACUGGGACUGAGUCACGGCCCAGACUCCUACGGGAGGCAGCAGUGGGGAAUUUUGGACAAUGGGCGCAAGCCUGAUCCAGCCAUGCCGCGUGCGGGAAGAAGGCCUUCGGGUUGUAAACCGCUUUUGUCAGGGAAGAAAUCUUCUGGGUUAAUACCUCGGGAGGAUGACGGUACCUGGAGAGUAAGCACCGGCUAACUACGUGCCAGCCGCCGCCGUAA
Molecule: ribosomal RNA, 496 nt
Filed under: uncultured bacterium
Lineage: Bacteria
Description: partial 16S ribosomal RNA
Rfam family: Bacterial small subunit ribosomal RNA
Source: RNAcentral